Brassica oleracea var. oleracea is the source of this 975-nucleotide long non-coding RNA. RefSeq lists it as uncharacterized. The transcript is spliced from 3 exons. The record is from RefSeq and is a predicted model, not a curated record. Lineage: Eukaryota; Viridiplantae; Streptophyta; Magnoliopsida; Brassicales; Brassicaceae.
CAUAAUCGAAGAAGCGAAGUUCUUCUCUCCUCUGCGUGCGACGGCGACUUCCUAACCUUUGCGCUUCAUCUCGCUAGCUGAAACUGUCCGAGUGAUGGUAUGCAAUCAAUUCAUUCACUUUCUCCUCAUCAUUGAAGAUUUCUCGCCUCCCCCAUUAACCGAAGCUACUGUAUAUAGAUCUUUGAUUGCCUAAACUCCCAGGGUGAACCAAGUUUCUACCUGUUUGGAUUCAUUAUGUAUUGCAACCACAGCUGCGAGAGUGCUAAAGUAAGUUCUUCAAGGAAUUUUUCUAAUUUUUACAGUCCACCUUGGUCCAAGAUUCUACUUGGGCUCAUUGGCUCAAAACUUUGAAGCACCUGCUGAAGGAAGGUGCCAUCUGUAACUAAACGUAUUCAACUUCACACGAAGUAACGACCACUUCAGUUCAUUGACUCACCAGUUUCCCUUCGCUUCAACAACCAGACUAAAUUUGUCAGUCCCAUGGCGGUGGUGUUAAGAACACCGUGGAAAUUUCCAGAAGGACAACGGAUCUGAAGGGCGACAGAACUUUAACAGUGGCGUUUGGGAGAAGGCUACUCACAAGGAGGUGUACGGUUCCGACAUAUGCCUUGAGGCUGAAGGUCGUUUGACGACAGAAGUGAGACGCCUCACCAACAUUAUUCUCAGGCGGAUGAUUGUCAACGACUUGGAUAUGGAUGUUUUGGCUAAGGCGAGACUGGAAGGCUUUGAAGCUUGACAAAUGCUUAGGUUUCUCUCUACUGAUGGACUUUCAGCAUCGUUUAAACAUUGCAGUUGAAGACCAUACAGAAAGGAAGAAGACUUUGUUGAGUAAGGAUCUCGGAAAAGUUGGGUUAAAUCAAUUUUUUCUAAGGAACUUGAACCCUUUAUUUUUGAAGUGUUUGAUAUUAGAGAUGAGCAAUAUUUUUGAUUUUGCGGACAUGAGUUAGAUGGAAUAUGGUAACAUUUUUUCUGACA